GGCUUGGGAGUCCCUGUCAUCUUUUGAAGAAAUGUUGAACUCUCAGGGCUUCUUGCUUGUCCAACUCACCUGUCUGGUGUCAGAAAUUUUCCUCCCCCCUUACUGGAGUCUGGGAAUGGUCUGUCAGUGGUGGGAAGUCGUGGCUGUGCCUGUCAGACAGCAGAUGACAGGCUGGGGAGAUGGGAUCCCUCUUGCUUCUCUGGUUAUCGAUUUUUGCUUCAUUUUUCUCAGGGCUGACAUUAAUUGUAAGUUUUGAGGGUAAUCAACACCAAGCAAUAAGGUGAGUUAUUAAACCAGGGUGAUCCCCUGGAAGUUUCUUUUAUAGCCCAGGGGUGCUCCUGCCUCCCUGCAGACCUGGGUAUCUCUGAUCAUGUUCUGAGCAACAAGAUGUUUAUCCUGCAACCUCCUUCUUGGUUGGAAAAACAGAUCUGAUAAUAUUUCCUUACCCUGCAGGGAUCCAGAGGAUUAAUUAGGGAAGGUGGCAAGAUGCUCUGAUGU
This is a long non-coding RNA of Corapipo altera (White-ruffed manakin), 498 nucleotides long. RefSeq lists it as uncharacterized. The record is from RefSeq and is a predicted model, not a curated record. The transcript is spliced from 2 exons. Lineage: Eukaryota; Metazoa; Chordata; Aves; Passeriformes; Pipridae.